Molecule: ribosomal RNA, 205 nt
Filed under: Batrachochytrium salamandrivorans
Lineage: Eukaryota; Fungi; Chytridiomycota; Chytridiomycetes; Rhizophydiales
Description: partial 28S ribosomal RNA
Source: RNAcentral
CUUGAAACCAGUAUUGAGUGAUGAAAUUCAGUAUUCCGUUUCUUUCGCAAGAGAGAAGGGGGGUAUGCACUUUUCAGUUAUCUCGAGUCAGCGUCAGUUUGGAACGUGGUAAAAAGUCUUUAGAAAGGUAGCCCCAGGAUUUAUUCUGGGGUGUUAUAGUUUAUUGACAUUAUGCCAUGAUCUGGACUGAGGAACGCAGCUGUAA